GACGAACGCUGGCGGCGUGCCUAAUACAUGCAAGUCGAACGGUCUUUUCUAUGGAAGCUUGCUUCCGCUGAGAAGAUAGUGGCGAACGGGUGAGUAACACGUGGGUAACCUGCCCAUAAGAGGGGGAUAACAUCCGGAAACGGUUGCUAAAACCGCAUAAGCGCACAUUGUCGCAUGACAAAGUGUGAAAAUAUUUAUAGGUAUAGGAUGGGCUCGCGCCUGAUUAGAUAGUUGGUGAGGUAAUGGCUCACCAAGUCUGCGAUCAGUAGCCGGACUGAGAGGUUGAACGGCCACAUUGGGACUGAGACACGGCCCAGACUCCUACGGGAGGCAGCAGUGGGGGAUA
RNAcentral lists this ribosomal RNA (346 nucleotides) under uncultured bacterium. Its description in RNAcentral is "bacterial SSU rRNA". It matches the Rfam family "Bacterial small subunit ribosomal RNA", at positions 28 to 363 of the family's 1533-position model. The record is from RNAcentral.